Molecule: transfer RNA, 72 nt
Filed under: Laccaria bicolor S238N-H82
Lineage: Eukaryota; Fungi; Basidiomycota; Agaricomycetes; Agaricales; Hydnangiaceae
Description: tRNA-Pro (CGG) (tRNA-Pro-CGG-1-1)
Rfam family: tRNA
About the family: Transfer RNA (tRNA) molecules are approximately 80 nucleotides in length. Their secondary structure includes four short double-helical elements and three loops (D, anti-codon, and T loops).
Source: RNAcentral
GGCCUAAUGGUCUAGUAGUAUGAUACGCGCUUCGGGUGUGCGUGGUCCCGGGUUCAAUUCCCGGUUGGGCCC